CAGUCGAACGAAGCACUUUGAUUGAUUUCUUCGGAAUGAAGUUUUAGUGACUGAGUGGCGGACGGGUGAGUAACGCGUGGGUAACCUGCCUCACACAGGGGGAUAACAGUUGGAAACGGCUGCUAAUACCGCAUAAGCGCACAGUACCGCAUGGUACGGUGUGAAAAACUCCGGUGGUGUGAGAUGGACCCGCGUCUGAUUAGCUAGUUGGCAGGGCAACGGCCUACCAAGGCGACGAUCAGUAGCCGACCUGAGAGGGUGACCGGCCACAUUGGGACUGAGACACGGCCCAAACUCCUACGGGAGGCAGCAGUGGGGAAUAUUGCACAAUGGGGGAAACCCUGAUGCAGCGACGCCGCGUGAGCGAAGAAGUAUUUCGGUAUGUAAAGCUCUAUCAGCAGGGAAGAAGAAAUGACGGUACCUGACUAAGAAGCACCGGCUAAAUACGUGCCAGCAGCCGCGGUAAUACGUAUGGUGCAAGCGUUAUCCGGAUUUACUGGGUGUAAAGGGAGCGUAGGCGGCAUGGCAAGUCAGAAGUGAAAGCCUGGGGCUCAACCCCGGAAUUGCUUUUGAAACUGUCAGGCUAGAGUGUCGGAGGGGUAAGCGGAAUUCCUAGUGUAGCGGUGAAAUGCGUAGAUAUUAGGAGGAACACCGGUGGCGAAGGCGGCUUACUGGACGAUUACUGACGCUGAGGCUCGAAAGCGUGGGGAGCAAACAGGAUUAGAUACCCUGGUAGUCCACGCCGUANACGAUGAAUACUAGGUGUAGGAGGUNUCGACUCCUUCUGUGCCGCA
Molecule: ribosomal RNA, 794 nt
Filed under: uncultured bacterium
Lineage: Bacteria
Description: bacterial SSU rRNA
Rfam family: Bacterial small subunit ribosomal RNA
Source: RNAcentral